Molecule: ribosomal RNA, 1861 nt
Filed under: Salmonella enterica
Lineage: Bacteria; Pseudomonadati; Pseudomonadota; Gammaproteobacteria; Enterobacterales; Enterobacteriaceae
Description: partial 23S ribosomal RNA
Rfam family: Bacterial large subunit ribosomal RNA
Source: RNAcentral
CAGCCAGGAUGUUGGCUUAGAAGCAGCCAUCAUUUAAAGAAAGCGUAAUAGCUCACUGGUCGAGUCGGCCUGCGCGGAAGAUGUAACGGGGCUAAACCAUGCACCGAAGCUGCGGCAGCGACACUCAGGUGUUGUUGGGUAGGGGAGCGUUCUGUAAGCCUGCGAAGGUGGCCUGUGAGGGUUGCUGGAGGUAUCAGAAGUGCGAAUGCUGACAUAAGUAACGAUAAAGCGGGUGAAAAGCCCGCUCGCCGGAAGACCAAGGGUUCCUGUCCAACGUUAAUCGGGGCAGGGUGAGUCGACCCCUAAGGCGAGGCCGAAAGGCGUAGUCGAUGGGAAACGGGUUAAUAUUCCCGUACUUGGUGUUACUGCGAAGGGGGGACGGAGAAGGCUAUGUUGGCCGGGCGACGGUUGUCCCGGUUUAAGCGUGUAGGUGUGUGUUCCAGGUAAAUCCGGUUCACUUUAACACUGAGGCGUGAUGACGAGGCACUACGGUGCUGAAGCAACAAAUGCCCUGCUUCCAGGAAAAGCCUCUAAGCAUCAGGUAACAUCAAAUCGUACCCCAAACCGACACAGGUGGUCAGGUAGAGAAUACCAAGGCGCUUGAGAGAACUCGGGUGAAGGAACUAGGCAAAAUGGUGCCGUAACUUCGGGAGAAGGCACGCUGACACGUAGGUGAAGUGAUUUACUCAUGGAGCUGAAGUCAGUCGAAGAUACCAGCUGGCUGCAACUGUUUAUUAAAAACACAGCACUGUGCAAACACGAAAGUGGACGUAUACGGUGUGACGCCUGCCCGGUGCCGGAAGGUUAAUUGAUGGGGUCAGCGCAAGCGAAGCUCCUGAUCGAAGCCCCGGUAAACGGCGGCCGUAACUAUAACGGUCCUAAGGUAGCGAAAUUCCUUGUCGGGUAAGUUCCGACCUGCACGAAUGGCGUAAUGAUGGCCAGGCUGUCUCCACCCGAGACUCAGUGAAAUUGAACUCGCUGUGAAGAUGCAGUGUACCCGCGGCAAGACGGAAAGACCCCGUGAACCUUUACUAUAGCUUGACACUGAACAUUGAGCCUUGAUGUGUAGGAUAGGUGGGAGGCUUUGAAGUGUGGACGCCAGUCUGCAUGGAGCCGGCCUUGAAAUACCACCCUUUAAUGUUUGAUGUUCUAACGUGGACCCGUGAUCCGGGUUGCGGACAGUGUCUGGUGGGUAGUUUGACUGGGGCGGUCUCCUCCUAAAGAGUAACGGAGGAGCACGAAGGUUGGCUAAUCCUGGUCGGACAUCAGGAGGUUAGUGCAAUGGCAUAAGCCAGCUUGACUGCGAGCGUGACGGCGCGAGCAGGUGCGAAAGCAGGUCAUAGUGAUCCGGUGGUUCUGAAUGGAAGGGCCAUCGCUCAACGGAUAAAAGGUACUCCGGGGAUAACAGGCUGAUACCGCCCAAGAGUUCAUAUCGACGGCGGUGUUUGGCACCUCGAUGUCGGCUCAUCACAUCCUGGGGCUGAAGUAGGUCCCAAGGGUAUGGCUGUUCGCCAUUUAAAGUGGUACGCGAGCUGGGUUUAGAACGUCGUGAGACAGUUCGGUCCCUAUCUGCCGUGGGCGCUGGAGAACUGAGGGGGGCUGCUCCUAGUACGAGAGGACCGGAGUGGACGCAUCACUGGUGUUCGGGUUGUCAUGCCAAUGGCACUGCCCGGUAGCUAAAUGCGGAAGAGAUAAGUGCUGAAAGCAUCUAAGCACGAAACUUGCCCCGAGAUGAGUUCUCCCUGAGACUUUAGGUCUCCUGAAGGAACGUUGAAGACGACGACGUUGAUAGGCCGGGUGUGUAAGCGCAGCGAUGCGUUGAGCUAACCGGUACUAAUGAACCGUGAGGCUUAACCUUACA